AACGAACGCUGGCGGCAUGCCUAACACAUGCAAGUCGAACGAGACCUUCGGGUCUAGUGGCGCACGGGUGCGUAACGCGUGGGAAUCUGCCCUUGGGUUCGGAAUAACAGCGAGAAAUUGCUGCUAAUACCGGAUGAUGACGUAAGUCCAAAGAUUUAUCGCCCAAGGAUGAGCCCGCGUAGGAUUAGCUAGUUGGUGAGGUAAAGGCUCACCAAGGCGACGAUCCUUAGCUGGUCUGAGAGGAUGAUCAGCCACACUGGGACUGAGACACGGCCCAGACUCCUACGGGAGGCAGCAGUGGGGAAUAUUGGACAAUGGGCGAAAGCCUGAUCCAGCAAUGCCGCGUGAGUGAUGAAGGCCUUAGGGUUGUAAAGCUCUUUUACCCGGGGAUGAUAAUGACCGUACCGGGAGAAUAAGCCCCGGCUAACUCCGUGCCAGCAGCCGCGGUAAU
RNAcentral lists this ribosomal RNA (451 nucleotides) under uncultured bacterium. Its description in RNAcentral is "bacterial SSU rRNA". It matches the Rfam family "Bacterial small subunit ribosomal RNA", at positions 29 to 524 of the family's 1533-position model. The record is from RNAcentral.